This is a long non-coding RNA of Cyprinodon variegatus (sheepshead minnow), 284 nucleotides long. RefSeq lists it as uncharacterized. Lineage: Eukaryota; Metazoa; Chordata; Actinopteri; Cyprinodontiformes; Cyprinodontidae. The record is from RefSeq and is a predicted model, not a curated record. The transcript has 3 exons.
AAAAAGGAAGAGGAAAGAAAGGCAGAAGCAUCACAGAGGCCGACGGCCAAGCCAAGAGCAAAGACUCGGGAUCUCCAAAACGACAAACCAGUAGCUGUGCAGAAAGAGACAGAAGCUGGGAAGCCUCAGCGUCUACCUGUUAAACAGAAGAGCUCACCGGAUUUACAGUUAGGCCAAAUUAUGGCUGUAAAACCACCACCAGCAGACCGCAAAGCUUCCUCUAAGAGGUCCCGUGAAGUGAGAAGAUCUCCCUUAACCCUUGAGCCAAGAGUGACAACACCACC